CGAGCAAGCUGGACGAUCGCUGCUCUGCUCAGGCGCCCAUCCUGGACCCGCCAGGGCCCGCGAUGGGCAGGCAGGAGCGGAGGAGAGGAAAGUCCGAACUCCAGAGGGCAGUGCGCUCGUUAACAGCGAGGGUCGGAAGGGGAUCUCUGAGCAAUCGGAGCGUACGCUUCCGGCAUGGAAAGUGCCACAGAAAACAUACCGCCCCGACAUUUCGGGGUAAGGGUGAAAAGGUGCGGCCCGCUUCGGCGGGAUUAAAGUAAGAGCGCACCGCCUCGACAGCGAUGGCGAGGGCAGGGUAAACCCCGCACGGAGCAAGACCAAAUAGGAGAGGAGGAGCGGCCCGCUCCGCAAGGUUCUGUAGCGGCGAUUAAUGAUCAUUGGCAUGGGCUGUUGCAGCCUGGUGAUUAUCGGUCGCCGCUACGGGCUGGUGACUCUCGGGUAGGUCGCUUGACCUCAUCAGCAAUGGUGGGGCUAGAGGAAUGAUCGUCACCCCGGGCGACCGGGGAACAAAAUUCGGCUUACAGGCUUGCUCGCGCU
RNAcentral lists this RNase P RNA (537 nucleotides) under Acidobacteriota bacterium. Its description in RNAcentral is "Acidobacteria bacterium RNase P RNA component class A". It matches the Rfam family "Bacterial RNase P class A". Rfam says of the family: Ribonuclease P (RNase P) is a ubiquitous endoribonuclease, found in archaea, bacteria and eukarya as well as chloroplasts and mitochondria. Its best characterised activity is the generation of mature 5'-ends of tRNAs by cleaving the 5'-leader elements of precursor-tRNAs. The record is from RNAcentral. Lineage: Bacteria; Pseudomonadati; Acidobacteriota.